CAUUGCUGGAACGCGCCCCAGGCGCACCCAGAAACCCUUUGUGAACUUAUACCCUUACUGUUGCCUCGGCGUCAGGCCGGCCCUCCUCCUUGGGGGGCCCCUCGUCCCCGGACGAGGAGCAGGCCCGCCGGCGGCCUACCUAACUCUUGUUUUUAACGCGGAACUCUGAGUAAAAAUUCAAAAUGAAUCAAAACUUUCAACAACGGAUCUCUUGGUUCUGGCAUCGAUGAAGAACGCAGCGAAAUGCGAUAAGUAAUGUGAAUUGCAGAAUUCAGUGAAUCAUCGAAUCUUUGAACGCACAUUGCGCCCUCUGGUAUUCCGGAGGGCAUGCCUGUUCGAGCGUCAUUUCAACCCUCAAGCCUGGCUUGGUGAUGGGGUACUGCCUCCUAGCGGGGGCAGGCCCUGAAAUUCAGUGGCGAGCUCGCCAGGACUCCGAGCGUAGUAGUUAAACCCUCGCUCUGGAAGGACUGGCGGUGCCCUGCCGUUAAACCCCCAACUUCUGAAAAUUUGACCUCGGAUCAGGUAGGAAUACCCGCUGAACUUAAGCAUAU
Molecule: ribosomal RNA, 551 nt
Filed under: fungal endophyte sp. P1311D
Lineage: Eukaryota; Fungi
Description: eukaryotic LSU rRNA
Rfam family: 5.8S ribosomal RNA (bases 192-345)
Source: RNAcentral